Molecule: ribosomal RNA, 416 nt
Filed under: uncultured bacterium
Lineage: Bacteria
Description: bacterial SSU rRNA
Rfam family: Bacterial small subunit ribosomal RNA
Source: RNAcentral
GAUGAACGCUAGCGGCAGGCUUAACACAUGCAAGUCGAGGGGUAUAUGUCUUCGGAUAUAGAGACCGGCGCACGGGUGCGUAACGCGUAUGCAAUCUACCUUUUACAGGGGAAUAGCCCCAGAGAAAUUUGGACUAAUGCCCCAUAGUAUAAUUGAAUGGCAUCAUUUAAUUAUUAAAGUCACAACGGUAAAGAUGAGCAUGCGUCCCAUUAGUUAGUUGGUAAGGUAACGGCUUACCAAGACAAUGAUGGGUAGGGGUCCUGAGAGGGAGAUCCCCACACUGGUACUGAGACACGGACCAGACUCCUACGGGAGGCAGCAGUGAGGAAUAUUGGACAAUAGGGCGGCAAGCCUGAUCCAGCCAUGCCGCGUGCAGGAAGACGGUCCUAUGGAUUGUUAAACUGCUUUUAUACAGG